GAUGAUGCCCAGCUUGCUGGGCGGAUUAGUGGCGAACGGGUGAGUAAUACGUGAGUAACCUGCCCUUGACUCUGGGAUAAGCCUGGGAAACUGGGUCUAAUACUGGAUACUACCUCUUACCGCAUGGUGGGUGGUGGAAAGGGUUUUACUGGUUUUGGAUGGGCUCACGGCCUAUCAGCUUGUUGGUGGGGUAAUGGCUCACCAAGGCGACGACGGGUAGCCGGCCUGAGAGGGUGACCGGCCACACUGGGACUGAGACACGGCCCAGACUCCUACGGGAGGCAGCAGUGGGGAAUAUUGCACAAUGGGCGGAAGCCUGAUGCAGCGACGCCGCGUGAGGGAUGACGGCCUUCGGGUUGUAAACCUCUUUCAGUAGGGAAGAAGCGAGAGUGACGGUACCUGCAGAAGAAGCGCCGGCUAACUACGUGCCAGCAGCCGCGGUAAUACGUAGGGCGCAAGCGUUGUCCGGAAUUAUUGGGCGUAAAGAGCUCGUAGGCGGUUUGUCGCGUCUGCUGUGAAAGCCCGGGGCUCAACCCCGGGUCUGCAGUGGGUACGGGCAGACUAGAGUGCAGUAGGGGAGACUGGAAUUCCUGGUGUAGCGGUGAAAUGCGCAGAUAUCAGGAGGAACACCGAUGGCGAAGGCAGGUCUCUGGGCUGUUACUGACGCUGAGGAGCGAAAGCAUGGGGAGCGAACAGGAUUAGAUACCCUGGUAG
RNAcentral lists this ribosomal RNA (714 nucleotides) under Kocuria sp. YIM 64672. Its description in RNAcentral is "bacterial SSU rRNA". It matches the Rfam family "Bacterial small subunit ribosomal RNA", at positions 68 to 793 of the family's 1533-position model. Lineage: Bacteria; Bacillati; Actinomycetota; Actinomycetes; Micrococcales; Micrococcaceae. The record is from RNAcentral.